Molecule: transfer RNA, 71 nt
Filed under: Bos taurus (domestic cattle)
Lineage: Eukaryota; Metazoa; Chordata; Mammalia; Artiodactyla; Bovidae
Also listed under: 5 other names
Rfam family: tRNA
About the family: Transfer RNA (tRNA) molecules are approximately 80 nucleotides in length. Their secondary structure includes four short double-helical elements and three loops (D, anti-codon, and T loops).
Source: Rfam by way of RNAcentral
UCCUGGUGGCUCAGAUGGUAAAGAAUCUGCCUGCAAUGCAGGAGACCCGGGUUUGACCCCUGGGUCAGGAA